AUGGGCGGAAAGCCCCCCCCGUGUGUCGUGCUGAGCGGCUCAGGUUGGCCAUCCGAGCUUCGUGUCAGUCCUUCUGAAAGCUAUGUGCACACAAAAAGCUUUUUUUUUGGUGGUGGACCAGGGAAGCAAGAUGAAAGUUCAGGGAAGCAGGAUAAAAAGAUUAGCCCUUUAUCAAGUGUAUGCUGUUUCUCGUCAUCGGUCAGCCACUGGAUAAAGGAAAACGUGAAGGGCAGCAGGCAGAAGAGAACAGCAAAAGACAAAGCGUCAGUAGCACAGCUGGUAAACCUGAUUUCUUAUGAACCUGUGUUCUCUGUCCAGCACCCUUGGGACAGUAAACCCACUAUGUCCUCUGUGCAUCUUCCCUUCUGCUAAUACUUUCUUGUUUUUCAGUAGGCCAACCACCCUACAGGCCUUCCCGCAUCUUCAGCCCUCUCUGCCAUCACAAUCAUAUUUUUU
RNAcentral lists this long non-coding RNA (456 nucleotides) under Cairina moschata (Muscovy duck). RNAcentral describes it as "domestica (muscovy Duck (domestic type)) lncRNA (ENSCMMG00000011507.1)". Lineage: Eukaryota; Metazoa; Chordata; Aves; Anseriformes; Anatidae. The record is from RNAcentral.